This 6677-nucleotide long non-coding RNA is filed under the name Salvia miltiorrhiza (redroot sage). RNAcentral describes it as "long non-coding RNA (SMIL_LNC001708)". The record is from RNAcentral. Lineage: Eukaryota; Viridiplantae; Streptophyta; Magnoliopsida; Lamiales; Lamiaceae.
CUGUAAAAGCAGGUGCAAAAACCUUUAAGAAGAAGGCCAAGAAAAUACGCACUAAAGUUACCUUCUAUCGGCCAAAGACAUUGACAAAGGAAAGGAAUCCCAAGUAUCCUCGCAUUAGUGCUGUUCCCCGCAAUAAACUUGACCACUACCAGAUUCUAAAGUAUCCUCUCACCACGGAGUCAGCAAUGAAGAAAAUUGAAGACAACAACACACUAGUUUUCAUUGUAGAUAUUCGUGACUGAUAAGAAAAAGAUCAAGAACGCAGUCAAGAAAAUGUAUGACAUCCAGACAAAGAAAGUGAACACACUUAUCAGGUGAACAAUGAUUCCAUCAAUCUUUCUACAUUCUACAUGUUGAAUUUGAACUUUGGCUUACUGCCAUAAGUGCUUUCAUCUAGAUCAUCCAUUCUUGAAAAUUGGAAUAUCUUGUGCAACAUAGAUCAUCCAUUCAUGCUACUAUUUAAAUUUUGGAUAAACUAGAUUUUAUAUUCAUUCUUUGAUUCCCUGUAACUGAAUUAUAAUCUAAUCUGCUCUGUUUCAGGCCGGAUGGAACCAAGAAGGCAUAUGUCAGGUUGACACCUGAUUACGAUGCUCUGGAUGUUGCUAACAAAAUCGGAAUCAUCUAAAUGGUCGGAGAUUGAGUUUUGUGUUUAAGCCUUUCUUUGGGGGAUUGUUUGUACUCCAAAAUUUCUUUUUUGAUUUAAAUGUGGGAGCUUCAGACUGAAUUGUGCAAGUUAUAUAGAGAUUUAGAUUUAGAUUGUAUCCGUCUUUACUUUAUUUACUUUUCCAUGUAUUCUGUCUUUUAAAAUCCUUUCUAUUAUGCUCUCCAAGAUAUACUCAAUUUGUGAUGAUACAUUGUUAAAUUCGGUGGAUUGUAGAAGCUCUAGUUUUAUAAAGCUGCUUUGCUCAUCUUUUUCUAUCAUCGAGCAUGUUAGUUUGUUAAAUCAGCACCAAUUGACUGCAAAUUUCUAUCCAUGUUAGUGAAAAAUCACCCAUUGUUUGAGUGUUUGAACCACCAUCUUCUACCGAUAUGUAUGUUAACCUUUUUGUCUACUGAAUAUCAGUAAAAACUUAAUGAAAAUGAACCUUUUAUCAAUGUUUUUAGUAAACCCUGCUCCUUGCUCCUUCUCACAACUGCAAAUUUCCAAUUAUCUAUGCAUGCAAUGCAAUCUGAUUACACACAAAUUCAAAAUCCAGUUAAAACGUUGGUAUCUAUUAAUCUCAGAACAUCAUAAAUCUCAUCCUUAUUGGCAUGUGUUUUAUCUGCCGUUACAAACACAUGAACCUCGCUCUUAACUUGUAUCCAACUACUCCCAGCAAUCCUGCUCAACCCCUUCUCUCUCAUCCUCUGCCUUAUCUCCCUCACCUCCUCCCACCUCCCUGCAGCUGACUGAGCAUUCGACAGCAUCACAUACGACGAUACAUCCGUCGGAUCCAACUCCAAGAUUCUUCUUGCUGCAACCUCCCCCAACUCCCAGUUGGAAUGCACCCGGCACCCUCCCAGCAACGCUUUCCAGAACCCAAUCCCGGGAUCAAACGGCAACUCAACAAGAAACCUCUCUGCCUCCUCGAACCUCCCACCCCGAGACAGCGAAUCCAUCAAGCACGCGUAGUGCUCCGCCCUCAGGAGCCCCGGAUCACCACGCCUCACUUGCUUGAAGUAGUUGCAGCCCUCAUCAACAAGGCCCGCGUGAUUGCACGCCAACAGCAAACCGAGAAGAGUCACACCGUUUGGCUCAACGCCCGCAACCUUCAUCUUCUCGUACGCAUCAACCGCAGCGCUCCCUUCUCCGUUCUGCGCGUAGCCACAGAUGAGCGCGUUCCACGACACCACGCUCCUCUCAAGCGUUUUCUUGAAUGCCAGCAGACUAUCCUCCAUGCUCCCACACUUUGCAUAGAAACUAAUCAAAGAAUUUGCAAGAAACAAGCCAAGCUGGCCCAAGUGCUUCACUGCGGAGGCAUGAAUGCUCCUUCCUAGCCCCAACGACCCCAUAUUGGCAGCGGCAAUGAUGGCGCAAGGAUACGAGGAUUGAAUAGGCGUAACCCCCUCUCUCAACAUCUCCACCAACAGAUUCACAGCUUCCUCGUUCCUCCCCGAUUGGCUGCACCCGCUGAUCAUGGUGUUCCAACAAACCGCAUUCCUCUCGGGCAUUGAUCGGAAACAAGCGCGGGCUUCAUCAAACCUUCCUUCCUUGGUGUAGCAGCGGAUCAACGAGGCGUAGGAGAACACGUUUGGCUCAUUGAUAUCCUCGAAAGCCCUCAAAGCGUCGUGAAAGCUGCUCAACUUGACAUAAAGAUCCAAAAUGGCGCUGCCAGCGAAGACGUUUGAGCUGAAGCCGGCUUUGAUAGCGUGGGAUUGAAUCUGUUUGCCGAGGCGGAGGUCUUUGAGGAGCGCGGAGGAAUGAAUGAGUGUGGCGAAAGUGUAGUCGUUGGGUUUGAUGUCGAGAAGGAGCAUUCUUGUGAAGCAAGCGAUGGCUUCGGCAUGUCGAUUUCGCUUCGCAAGUUGGCCAAUCAGAGCAGUCGCGGAUUUGACGUCGCGUUGGGGCAUUUCGUCGAGCAGUUGGUGGGCGUCUGGAUUCCGGAACGAAACGGAGCGUGAUUUGGAGUUGGUUUGGAUGGAGCAUUGUCCAAGAAUGGCGAUCCUUCUCAAAACUGCCAUUCUCGUAUCUAAGUUGACACAUCUUAACCUCAACUCAUUCUCGUACAACGGAGUUUUACCACUUCUUCAGCUUCUCAAAACUUAUGGAAGAUUGUGUUGAUAAAUGAUCUAUUUAUUAAAAUAAAAGAUUGAAUUGGAUUAGUUUGUUGAUGAAUGUAGGAAAAUUAUACCACUAAAAUAAUACUUACUCUCUCCGUCCACAAUUUAAAGUCGUUCUUGCCCUUAAAAAUUUGUGCACAAAUUAAAACUCUAUUAUGUUUUUUGUACCUUUUUACCCUUCUUUUUUAUUUAAAAUUACUACCAUCUGCCAUUAAUUAUUUCUCCCCAUUUUUAAACCUAUUUAAUUAUAGAAUUAAUUAAUUCACUAAGUGCAGCUAAUUAAUUCACUUAAUAAAUGAGAAUUAUCCCUCCCCAUUUAAUAUUUAUAGCCUUAUUUAAUUCAUCCCCAUUUUCAAGGGAUCUUUGGUCGGUGUCGUUUUCUCUUUUCCUAAAUAGAUUGCCAGGAUAAACUCCCUAACAACAUAGAGGUUUCUUAUGGCGUCGACGUGAUAUCUGCCUUGAGAGUGUUAUGUGGUUAAAAGCUUAGAUAUGAGGUUCUCUGAUCCCGAGCAAUUAUUCAGGGAUCUGCUAACUAAUGCAAUUGGUAGGGGUCUUGUAGUAUAUGUGUGACUUUAGAAGAGUAACUUUCUGUGAGAUAAAAGAACAAAGAAGUUAACUUCAGGAAAACGAACGAAAGAGAGAAGUGGAAGUAAGACGAAUAAGAAGGGCAGCNUUUUCUUGAAUGCCAGCAGACUAUCCUCCAUGCUCCCACACUUUGCAUAGAAACUAAUCAAAGAAUUUGCAAGAAACAAGCCAAGCUGGCCCAAGUGCUUCACUGCGGAGGCAUGAAUGCUCCUUCCUAGCCCCAACGACCCCAUAUUGGCAGCGGCAAUGAUGGCGCAAGGAUACGAGGAUUGAAUAGGCGUAACCCCCUCUCUCAACAUCUCCACCAACAGAUUCACAGCUUCCUCGUUCCUCCCCGAUUGGCUGCACCCGCUGAUCAUGGUGUUCCAACAAACCGCAUUCCUCUCGGGCAUUGAUCGGAAACAAGCGCGGGCUUCAUCAAACCUUCCUUCCUUGGUGUAGCAGCGGAUCAACGAGGCGUAGGAGAACACGUUUGGCUCAUUGAUAUCCUCGAAAGCCCUCAAAGCGUCGUGAAAGCUGCUCAACUUGACAUAAAGAUCCAAAAUGGCGCUGCCAGCGAAGACGUUUGAGCUGAAGCCGGCUUUGAUAGCGUGGGAUUGAAUCUGUUUGCCGAGGCGGAGGUCUUUGAGGAGCGCGGAGGAAUGAAUGAGUGUGGCGAAAGUGUAGUCGUUGGGUUUGAUGUCGAGAAGGAGCAUUCUUGUGAAGCAAGCGAUGGCUUCGGCAUGUCGAUUUCGCUUCGCAAGUUGGCCAAUCAGAGCAGUCGCGGAUUUGACGUCGCGUUGGGGCAUUUCGUCGAGCAGUUGGUGGGCGUCUGGAUUCCGGAACGAAACGGAGCGUGAUUUGGAGUUGGUUUGGAUGGAGCAUUGUCCAAGAAUGGCGAUCCUUCUCAAAACUGCCAUUCUCGUAUCUAAGUUGACACAUCUUAACCUCAACUCAUUCUCGUACAACGGAGUUUUACCACUUCUUCAGCUUCUCAAAACUUAUGGAAGAUUGUGUUGAUAAAUGAUCUAUUAUUAAAUAAAAGAUUGAAUUGGAUUAGUUUGUUGAUGAAUGUAGGAAAAUUAUACCACUAAAAUAAUACUUACUCUCUCCGUCCUACAAUUUAAAGUCGUUCUUGCCCUUAAAAAUUUGUGCACAAAUUAAAACUCUAUUAUGUUUUUUGUACCUUUUUACCCUCUUUUUUAUUUAAAAUUACUACCAUCUGCCAUUAAUUAUUUCUCCCCAUUUUUAAACCUAUUUAAUUAUAGAAUUAAUUAAUUCACUAAGUGCAGCUAAUUAAUUCACUUAAUAAAUGAGAAUUAUCCCUCCCCAUUUAAUAUUUAUAGCCUUAUUUAAUUCAUCCCCAUUUUCAAGGGAUCUUUGGUCGGUGUCGUUUUCUCUUUUCCAAAUAGAUUGCCAGGAUAAACUCCCUAACAACAUAGAGGUUUCUUAUGGCGUCGAGUGAUAUCUGCCUUGAGAGUGUUAUGUGGUUAAAAGCUUAGAUAUGAGGUUCUCUGAUCCCGAGCAAUUAUUCAGGGAUCUGCUAACUAAUGCAAUUGGUAGGGGUCUUGUAGUAUAUGUGUGACUUUAGAAGAGUAACUUUCUGUGAGAUAAAAGAACAAAGAAGUUAACUUCAGGAAAACGAACGAAAGAGAGAAGUGGAAGUAAGACGAAUAAGAAGGGCAGCUUAAGGCCUGGUUCCCGUCUGAUUGAGAAUAGUUACUAGAACAGAAAAACAAGUAGUAAAAGAACUCCUAAUUGAAGACUUCUCCCUGCUUGUUGGAAAAGUAACUAACCGGCAGCUUGGUUGUUGGUUCUGCUUUUCACUUUCUCGAGUCUUUGUUCUUACUUUCUUAAGGCCUGGUUCCCGUCCGAGUGGAGUUGGGACUUUAAAUGGAGAAGAGAAUUAUUCGACAGGGAAAAACUCAUGGUCAAUGAAUUGUUGUCUGUCAUUUCAGGUACCACCCUUACGGCAAACAAAGACGAUGGAUGGGUUUGGACUGCUUCAAAGGAGGGAGUGUUCACCACUAGUUCAGCUUACAAAGCGAUCAAAGAAGCGAGGAAAAAGGAAGAGGAGAGCAGCUUGUACAACCAAAGAGCAGCGAAAGCGUGGCAGAUCUGCGCCCCUCAAAAAGUUAAGGUAACGGCAUGGAGAAUUUUUCGGAAUAGGCUGCCUACCUGCGACAACUUGAGCAAGAGAAACAUUCCGCUUGAAGACGUGGAAACCAUGUGCAAUGCUUGCUGCCAGGAAAAAGAAACGGCGGACCACCUGUUUCGCUCCUGCCCGAAGACAGAAAUGAUCUGGAACGAGAUUUAGAAUUGGACUGGGCUCUACACCGCUCGGGCGGACUGCAUUGAGGCGCACUUCCACUCCUUUAUUCACAAGGGCAAUGGAAAAAACAUUAAGAAAUUCCUUGAAGCUCUUUGGACUUGCACCACUUGGCUCAUUUGGAAAGGUCGUAAUGAGAGUAGAUUCCAGAACAAGAACUGGGAAGUCAAGAAAAUGCUGGGCGAAAUCAAAGCGAGGCUAUGGAGUUGGAAUAAGGUCUUUAAACUGUUAGACGUGGAGAUUAAUUUUAGCUGUUGGUUCUCCAAUUCUAUUUCCCCUUUUCUGUUGUAACCAGUUUGGUACUUCUGGUACCAUGAACUUUCUCUAAUAAAAUCCUUUUUCUGAUAAAAAAAAACUUAGAAUUGUAUUUUCAUUUGUGAUUCAAAUCUUGAUACAAUAUUGUGAAACUACUGGGGUUAGAGUUAUCAUCAUAUUUAUGAUGUUUAUACAUAUUAAACAUUGCAUAUAUGUAUCCAUCUAUAUGGUUGUUUCUGGUUUAUAGUUUUUUUUUUCUUGCUAAACUAAAGUUUAUCUUGAUAAUAAUUUGGGCCACUAAUCAUUAUAUUCCCAAUGGGUUUUAGCCAAUACUUACCAUUCUUUCAAUGGACACUACACUACUGAUUUACGUGAUCCAUCAUUCCUUACUUGUACCAUUGUUAUAGAAAUCUAGCACCUUCUUUUAUUAGUUAGCUAAUUUUUGCUUUUGCUUGUAUAACUGCAGCUGAUACAAGUAAGAAAUCAGACGCCAAGGCUCAAGCCUUAAAGGCUGCCAAGGCUGUAAAAGCAGGUGCAAAAACCUUUAAGAAGAAGGCCAAGAAAAUACGCACUAAAGUUACCUUCUAUCGCCCAAAGACAUAGACAAAGGAAAGGAAUCCCAAGUAUCCUCGCAUUAGUGAUGUUCCCCGCAAUAAACUUGACCACUACCAAAUUCUCAAGUAUCCUCUCACCACGGAGUCUGCAAUGAAGAAAAUUGAAGACAACAACACACUAGUUUUCAUUGUAGAUAUUCGUGCUGAUAAGAAAAAGA